GAUGAAGAACGUAGCGAAAUGCGAUAAGUAAUGUGAAUUGCAGAAUUCAGUGAAUCAUCGAAUCUUUGAACGCACAUUGCGCCCCCUGGUAUUCCGGGGGGCAUGCCUGUUCGAGCGUCAUUUCACCACUCAAGCCUCGCUUGGUAUUGGGCGACGCGGUCCGCCGCGCGCCUCAAAUCGACCGGCUGGGUCUUCCGUCCCCUCAGCGUUGUGGAAACUAUUCGCUAAAGGGUGCCGCGGGAGGUCACGCCGCAAAACAACCCCAUUUCUAAGGUUGACCUCGGAUCAGGUAGGGAUACCCGCUGAACUUAAGCAUAUCAAUAGCGGAGGA
This 331-nucleotide unclassified non-coding RNA is filed under the name soil metagenome. RNAcentral's name for it is "partial contains 5.8S ribosomal RNA, internal transcribed spacer 2, and large subunit ribosomal RNA". The stretch from base 1 to 120 matches the Rfam family "5.8S ribosomal RNA", at positions 35 to 154 of the family's 154-position model. The record is from RNAcentral.